GAGUGGUACCCGGUGGUGGCUGUGCAGCCAGACACCCAGCAUCAGAGCUGCCAUGCUCAUCAGGCUGUGCUUGCCUAACCUGGGCUCUUCUCCGUGUUUCCAAACAGCCCAGAGGUGUGCACAACCACCUUUGUUGUAAGGGGUUUUGAUAGCAGAUGAUGUGCUGAGAAGCAGCCUGGCCCUUUUGCCAGAGCUGCAAGUGGCUGAAGCUGGGAUGUGGUGGGCAGCAGGGCAGGAGGAAGGUGAUUUGGUUCUUUAGGGACUCGGAAAUAUCACCAAACCUGGGGCUAAACAGGGUAUGCUCUUUCCUACCCAGAUGUCUAAUCAGAAACAAAUCCUGCAAUUGUAUCAGCUAGAAACUGAAGCUUCCUGCUGUCCACUGAGGAGUAAAACAAGGCUCAGUUCCUGGGCCUGCUCUGCUGACACACUCUUGGUUUUCCUCUCCUCCUUAGCCACCGGAGGGCAGGCAGGAAUCCUGUAAUUACCAACCACUGCGGAAGAAAAGCACUGGAAUAAUUAAAAAGCAAUUAAUGUUUGCACUGCUGGAUCUGCUGUGGCAUUGCUCUUUCCAGUUGCAUGCUCUGCCUCUGGUCCCCUCGCCACCUACUUCACUUUGUAGAUUUUCCUUUAUCAGUUGCUUUUCAUUUUCAUUCGAGCUAGCUGUGAGAGCUGAAGUACAAGUUCAGAUUAAGUUACUGCUGAGACGUGCUUUGCUUGGGGGGAUUAUGGAGUUGGCUGUGAUGUGUUGGCUGCCAGGUAAGGUAAGAAAAGGCAAAGCCUUUUAGCAGGCUGCGAUCAGACAGAAGCCUUUGUGUCCCAGGGCUGGAAAUAUUGCUGCGGGGUCAAACGCUCCUAAGCUCAGCACUACACUGGUGUAACCAUUACAGCUUCAUUAUGGAACUGGUCGAUCCUUGGUGAACUGGAGCUUCUGGAUCAGCUCUGUAGAGCUGUCAACACUGGUGAAGAUUCAAGCAGCAACUGGAGAAGAACAAAGACUGUUGUCAGUGGUCUUUCAAUUUGAUGCAGGUCCUGAGUGUAGCAGAGAGAAAAAUUGGAACUCUGAGAUACCAGCUUUUUCAAUUGCUUGGGUGAGCUCAAUUUCUGUAAUUACUUCCUCCAGGAAGCUCCCCAGCUGUGGCUGUUGUUGUGCAUGUUGAGGAGAUGCAUCACUGAAGGAUUAAAAAACAACUGCUGUGAGCUGGGAAGCAAAGCAGGCCAGGACUAGAAGCUGCCAUGGAAGGAGAGGCACAUGAUGAAGUCUCCGGAGCUGCUUGCUGAUGGGACCCACUGCCACCAUCCUGCACCCUGCUCUGGGCACACAGAGACCUUCUGCACUGCCCGAGUCUACCAGGAAACAGCCCGGAAACCUCAGACGAGCCUGGAAGCCAAAUUCCCUCGGACGUGCCUGAGGGUGCUUGCAAGUCUGACUGCCAGCUGCCAUGUGCCCAAAUCCUCUGUGAGAGUCAUUGCAGGUAGGAAACCUCAGUGGAUCCCAUCACUGCUUGUGCUGCUGGGUGCUGCAAGGCCGGGUUCCAGCAGGGCACUGCCUGCCUGUGCUAUAGCACUGCAGCAUCCCUGCCUGCAGGGAACGAUGUCCAUUGGAGAGGAGAGACAACUGUGCUGCUGGCAACGGCGGGCAGACAAUCCUCUCCCACGGAUCCCCCAGGCAUCCCCAGUCCCACUGCCAUCUGCACUGGGGCUUUCAGUCUUUGCGCACAGAGGGUGGCAGACAGCCCUGCUGUGUGCUGCUUACGCACAUCAGAGACUCAGCCCUGCUCCCCUGGGCUUUGAGGGCUGAGCUCACCACUCAGAUGGGCAUUUGGGAAUUGGCUGUAAAAAUACAACCGGUCCUCGGCAAAGAAGCUGAAUUCCUCUGGGUGCGCUGCGCAGGGCCUAGGGCACCAUGGAAAGUGUCUUUUCUGGGCAGCAUGAGCCCUCGGUGUCAGCAGAAGAGUCACUGCCUGGGGCUGUUCUGAGCAAGAUGGCUGGAAAGUGCCUCUUGGAA
This is a non-coding RNA of Meleagris gallopavo (turkey), 2005 nucleotides long. Lineage: Eukaryota; Metazoa; Chordata; Aves; Galliformes; Phasianidae. The record is from RefSeq and is a predicted model, not a curated record.